UGUUUCGGCUAGGGGGCCAUCCCGGCUUACCAACCCGAUGCAAACUGCGAAUACCGGAGAAUGUUAUCACGGGAGACACACGGCGGGUGCUAACGUCCGUCGUGAAGAGGGAAACAACCCAGACCGCCAGCUAAGGUCCCAAAGUCAUGGUUAAGUGGGAAACGAUGUGGGAAGGCCCAGACAGCCAGGAUGUUGGCUUAGAAGCAGCCAUCAUUUAAAGAAAGCGUAAUAGCUCACUGGUCGAGUCGGCCUGCGCGGAAGAUGUAACGGGGCUAAACCAUGCACCGAAGCUGCGGCAGCGACACUGUGUGUUGUUGGGUAGGGGAGCGUUCUGUAAGCCUGUGAAGGUGGCCUGUGAGGGUUGCUGGAGGUAUCAGAAGUGCGAAUGCUGACAUAAGUAACGAUAAAGCGGGUGAAAAGCCCGCUCGCCGGAAGACCAAGGGUUCCUGUCCAACGUUAAUCGGGGCAGGGUGAGUCGACCCCUAAGGCGAGGCCGAAAGGCGUAGUCGAUGGGAAACAGGUUAAUAU
This 528-nucleotide ribosomal RNA is filed under the name Salmonella enterica subsp. enterica serovar Newport. RNAcentral describes it as "partial 23S ribosomal RNA". It matches the Rfam family "Bacterial large subunit ribosomal RNA", at positions 911 to 1436 of the family's 2925-position model. The record is from RNAcentral. Lineage: Bacteria; Pseudomonadati; Pseudomonadota; Gammaproteobacteria; Enterobacterales; Enterobacteriaceae.